This 365-nucleotide transfer-messenger RNA is filed under the name Oscillospiraceae. RNAcentral describes it as "Dysosmobacter sp945862785 Standard tmRNA". It matches the Rfam family "transfer-messenger RNA". From Rfam's summary of the family: Bacterial tmRNA, also known as 10Sa RNA or SsrA, is named for its dual tRNA and mRNA-like properties. Lineage: Bacteria; Bacillati; Bacillota; Clostridia; Eubacteriales. RNAcentral also lists the same sequence under 1 other name. The record is from RNAcentral.
GGGGGUGUACCGGUUUCGACGGGGGUAUGGAGGCGGGACAAGCGGGCGGCGGCGCCUGACCGCCAUAAAACGGGCAAUUUUAUAAAUUAAAUAACAACAACACUGUUGCUAUUGCUGCCUAAUUAAAGGCGGCCGUCUGAACCGGAGAGGCCACAGGCCGGGGAAGGCGUCGUUGAUGUGGCGUCCGUGAGGCGGGAAAGAGUUGACCUGCCCACGCAUCAUGACUCUCACCUGAACAGGCGGCGUGACGAUUUGCCGCUUGGGAUGGGAACAGGGGAGCAGAUCCCCGCAAUAAUCGUCUGCGCCCGGAGAAAGUCCCGUUAAAAUGCUUUCGGACGGGGGUUCAACUCCCCCCACCUCCACCA